This 253-nucleotide ribosomal RNA is filed under the name uncultured bacterium. RNAcentral's name for it is "partial 16S ribosomal RNA". It matches the Rfam family "Bacterial small subunit ribosomal RNA", at positions 524 to 776 of the family's 1533-position model. The record is from RNAcentral.
UACGUAGGGUGCGAGCGUUAAUCGGAAUUACUGGGCGUAAAGUGUGCGCAGGCGGCGUCGCAAGUCGAGUGUGAAAGCCCCGGGCUUAACUUGGGAAUUGCGCUCGAAACUACGGUGCUGGAGUAUGGCAGAGGAAGGUGGAAUUCCACGUGUAGCGGUGAAAUGCGUAGAGAUCCGGAGGAACCCCAGAGGCGAAGGCGGCGUCCUGGCUCGCAUCUGACGCUCAGACACGACAGCAUGGGGAGCGAACGGG